GAAACUAACAAGGAUUCCCCUAGUAACUGCGAGUGAAGCGGGAAAAGCUCAAAUUUAAAAUCUGGUAGUCUUCGGCUGCCCGAGUUGUAAUCUAGAGAAGCGUUAUCCGCACUGGACCAUGUAUAAAUCUCCUGGAAUGGAGUGUCAUAGAGGGUGAGAAUCCCGUCUUUGACAUGGACUACCAGGGCUUUGUGAUGCGCUCUCAAAGAGUCGAGUUGUUUGGGAAUGCAGCUCUAAAUGGGUGGUAAGUUCCAUCUAAAGCUAAAUAUUGGCAAGAGACCGAUAGCGAACAAGUACCGUGAGGGAAAGAUGAAAAGAACUUUGGAAAGAGAGUUAAACAGUACGUGAAAUUGUUGAAAGGGAAACGCUUGAAGUCAGUCAUAUUGGCCAGGGAUCAACCUUGCAGUAAUGCUUGGUGUACUUUCUGGUUGAUAGGUCAGCAUCAAUUUUGAUCAGUGGAAAAAGUUUGAGGGAAUGUGGCAUCUUCGGAUGUGUUAUAGCCCUUGGCCAUAUACAUUGGUUGGGAUUGAGGAACUCAGCAUGCCGCAAGGCCAGGUUUUUAACCAUGUUCAUGCUUAGGAUGCUGGCAUAAUGGCUUUAAUCGACCC
RNAcentral lists this ribosomal RNA (608 nucleotides) under Entoloma trichomatum. Its description in RNAcentral is "partial large subunit ribosomal RNA". It matches the Rfam family "Eukaryotic large subunit ribosomal RNA", at positions 61 to 650 of the family's 3401-position model. The record is from RNAcentral. Lineage: Eukaryota; Fungi; Basidiomycota; Agaricomycetes; Agaricales; Entolomataceae.